RNAcentral lists this long non-coding RNA (232 nucleotides) under Capsicum annuum. RNAcentral describes it as "long non-coding RNA (CANN_LNC010295)". The record is from RNAcentral. Lineage: Eukaryota; Viridiplantae; Streptophyta; Magnoliopsida; Solanales; Solanaceae.
CCAACACCCUUUAUUUCACUUUGUAAAUACACUAGGCAAGUUCUAGACAUUUCUAUACAUGUAGAAUAUAAACAAAUACUCACACUCAUAGUGCAUACGAAAUCAAGUCGGAUCCUUAAGGUUCCCGAUCUUGAUCUUUAUUGAAUUCAAAAUUAAGCCAACAAAUCGUAUUUCACCUAUCAAGACUAAGCAAUUUACAAUUAAAUCCUUUGAAAUUUAAAACUCAAUUCAU